AUUUAUAUUGCUAAAUUUUUUAUGAGGUCAGCAUUAAUGUGCAUUUAUCUAAAUCAAAAUUUUCAUUAAUCUUUUUUAUUUCCAUGAUCAUCAUAUUGGCUUGUAAUAUCUGAGUUUUGUUAGUAGUUUUAUCAUGUAUGCAUUAUACACAUUUGUGCAGUCCAUUAAUUUUCUUUAACAAGAAAUACAAAAAAUGUUUAUAUCUUAAACAAAACUUUAUACUGUUGGAGGACCAUAUGGUGUCCCCAAGGAAUCCCAAUCACCGUGAUCUUAGAUGCCAUGGAAUACAUUUCUUAAUCGGCUUUUUCCAGACAUUUGUCUGUGACUAUUAGUUAGUGCACUGGAGUCCCACUUAAGAAAAUAGCCUAUGAAUUUUGAUGGCUCUUUCGGGGAUUUUUUUGAUUUUUGGAGCAGAGAGAAAUUGGCUAAUUCCAUCAUGAUACUUGGGUAUCUUUUUGGGAUCUUCUCUUUUGUCUUUCCUACCCAUACCAUCCACCAUGUUUCAAUGUUUUGUAUUUGGAUUUGGGUAGUUGUUUGACCAUGACACCUAAAAAAGGUUCUGGCGGUACAUGGAAAAAAUUCAGAAAUAUUUGACAUUAUGAAGUAAAACGAACAAAAUCUUCUAUACUUCAGUCAGAACAUCAAUGACAUGGUUCCAAUUAGCAACAAGAAGUAAAAGAAAUAGACAAGUACACCAAGUGAAAUUAUGUGAUGAAACACAUGGAUUACAUCAUGAACACAACGUGCCCAUUGCUAAAAGUGCCUUAGGUAUGACAAAUACAUUGGCUAUGAUCCAGUGUAUCCAAACAUCUAUUUGCCUAUGCGGUACUGAUGGAUGAGUCAUGAAAAAUACAACUGUUGCUGCCAUAUUGUUACUGUUCUUGCUCCAUCUGCCCUAGGUAUCCCAUGGUGUAAUCUGAUGUCUGUAAUGACCUCCAUAUCCACUCCAUGAAAUUCAGGUGACUUUGGCUUGAUCUACUAUCUUAGUUAAGCAUAGCAUGACCUCCCUCUGCUCAUGAUGUGUUAUAAUCCAGGCAUCUCAUGUAGCAUUGGUCAUAGGUGUAAAUGCUCUCUCAUCCAGGUAUAUUGACCAGCACAUCUCAAGCUUAAAGAUCAUCGACAAUAAUAUGCCUUACAUCAGGCAUGCAUAUAGUUUGACAUGUCUUGUUAAUGGUUAUUUGAGACACCUGCAAAUGCUCUCUCAUCCAGGCAUAUCAACCAGCAUAUCUCAAGCUUAAAGAUCAUCGACAAUAAUAUGCCUCACAUCAGGCAUGCAUAUAGUUUGACAUGUCUUGUUAAUGGUUAUUUGAGACACCACAAAAGACUGAAUCAAGAUAAAGUAGCAUGGCAACAACAUUUUGUCCUGAUUCCAAUCCGUGAUUACAACUCCAUCCAACCCAUCCUAACCAAGUCAGGAACUCUUGAAUCUAUAGAUCAUAAGGUAGUAAAGAAAACCCUGGACUUUGCAAGAGAAACUCAGAUUGGCAACCCAUGUGGGAGGAGGGUUGAAGUGGCUUUGGAACCAACAAUUGGCCAGCUAACGUUGAUACUGAAGUGCAGUGGUAGCAGUCACGGUAGAAGGCACAAUUAUUUGCAAUUGGCACAUGUUGAGAUCAUGUUAUGAAAGGUCGAGAGGAAAAGAGAGAGGGUCAUCAAUGGCAGGUCACUCCAUGUGUUGGUGAUGUUGUAGUUAGC
Molecule: long non-coding RNA, 1695 nt
Filed under: Musa acuminata (dwarf banana)
Lineage: Eukaryota; Viridiplantae; Streptophyta; Magnoliopsida; Zingiberales; Musaceae
Description: long non-coding RNA (MACU_LNC001152)
Source: RNAcentral